This is a long non-coding RNA of Dermochelys coriacea (leatherback sea turtle), 134 nucleotides long. RefSeq lists it as uncharacterized. NCBI's taxonomy places the organism in Eukaryota, Metazoa, Chordata, Testudines, Dermochelyidae. The record is from RefSeq and is a predicted model, not a curated record. The transcript is spliced from 3 exons.
CUUUCUGUUGCUUGAGGGAACAAUAACAUACACCUCUACCCCGCUAUAACGCGACCCGCUAUAAUGCGGGUUCGCAUACAACGCGGUAAAGCUCCAACAUGCUGCUCUGAGCAGCGUGUUAAGGGUGCUGGGCC